This 332-nucleotide long non-coding RNA is filed under the name Fukomys damarensis (Damara mole-rat). RNAcentral's name for it is "lncRNA (ENSFDAG00000027943.1)". The record is from RNAcentral. Lineage: Eukaryota; Metazoa; Chordata; Mammalia; Rodentia; Bathyergidae.
GUGGGGCUGGGCUCAUGGUUACCACUGUCUGGUGCUGCAGAGAGGAGUGAGGGAAGCUACGAGGCCAGCAGGAUCAGUGACCAGAAGGCCAUGGGCCUCCAGGUCACACGUGCACCCGCAGAUGGGAAAGCCUCGGUCCCAGAAGCCAUGUCAAGCCUGCCAUUGCUGGCACCUGUCAGCUGAGGCCCUGCAGACCUGGGACGAGAACGGCCAACAGAGGAUCCUGGACACCCAACGUACCCUGGACCAACACUUGUCUUGAGUCCUGGAGAGAGAGGUGAGCUGAGCUCCUACCUGGAGAGAAAAGGGGCUCGGGUUUCUGUUUUAGCAAC